Molecule: long non-coding RNA, 1038 nt
Organism: Poecilia latipinna (sailfin molly)
Lineage: Eukaryota; Metazoa; Chordata; Actinopteri; Cyprinodontiformes; Poeciliidae
Exons: 2
Source: RefSeq, a predicted model, not a curated record
AAAAAAAAAAUCUGAACAGAAAAUGUUCAGCAAAUACAUCUGAACCUCCGUUAUAAUCUCCCUUUAGCCAUUUCCCAAGUCAGAAGCUACAAUCGGAAGUCAACUUAAGCUACGAUCCAGUCAGUCAGGAAGGCCGCCACAGCUAGAGGACCAGCCUGACAUCUCCUUCUGUGCAGUCCCGUUCUGUUUAGGAUCCUGCUCAGAGUAUGUAUGCUAUUAAUGGUUUUAACCACAAUGCAAAGCAGCAUCCGUAUCUCCACAUGUUGUAGACCAAACAUGAAAGGAAACCUGACCAAUUCAUGUUAGCCACUGUACUAGCCUAGCAUAAUACUGUCACUUCCUGGACAUAAAAUUAUCACGUUUAUACAAGAUACGUAUCACGUUAUAACGUGAUAGUGUAACCCAGCUGUAUUUUAUUUGUUUGUUCUGUGUUAUUUGCUUUUCUGUAUUGUUUGUAUCUUAUGGGUAGUGUCCCUUUAAGAGCAAAGCACGACAUCACUUUACGGCAGCGUUCCGACUGCAGUUACUAGGGAAACUCCCGGGCUUUAGAGUUUCAGAGCUGCUGCGGAGUAGAGACAUGCCAGUCUCUGCCGUCCUUCUGCAUAGCGCUUGACUUCUUUAUGCCUGAUAUAUGAUGUUUUCCUGCUAGAAAGGGACACUGGGAAGGUGCUCCUGUGCCUGCGGAGGAAGAGAGAGAGGCCGCGGAGUUUCUGUGUCUGUGGACAUCGGCUGCCGUCGUCAUUCUGGGUCGCCAUCCCAGCCAGGACAACCUCUUUCAUCGUUUUGUACGAAUCAGACACACACACAAAUAUAGAGCUCUAUAUGAACUUUUUUUUUUUGCUGGCCAGCUACUUUUAAUUAAUUUUUUUUCUUUUUACCAAGGACCCUGAAAGGAUUCUUUAUAAUCGAAGUAUUUUUUUUUUCUCUUUGUGGGUUUUUCCAGGAAAACUGUAUGACAGUGUUGAGACGAAGUUGGAUGUGUUUCAGUCCAGUAACUUGUAAUAAACAUAACUGGUUGAUAGUAAACUGCUAUCUGAA